RNAcentral lists this ribosomal RNA (842 nucleotides) under uncultured marine bacterium. RNAcentral describes it as "bacterial SSU rRNA". It matches the Rfam family "Bacterial small subunit ribosomal RNA", at positions 41 to 867 of the family's 1533-position model. The record is from RNAcentral.
GGCGAGCGCUGCUACCUGCAGUCGACGAGAAGUUUCCUUCGGGAAGCGAGUAGAGUGGCGCACGGGUGAGUAACACGUAGGUAAUCUGUCCUCGAACCUGGAAUAACAUGGCGAAAGCGAUGCUAAUACCGGAUAAAGUUUUUUGAACUACGGUUUAAGAAAUGAAAGGCCGCUUCGGCAGUCGAUCGAGGGUGAGCCUGCGUCCCAUUAGCUAGUUGGUAAGGUAAUGGCUUACCAAGGCAACGAUGGGUAGCUGGUCUGAGAGGAUGAUCAGCCACACUGGGACUGAAACACGGUCCAGACUCCUACGGGAGGCAGCAGUGAGGAAUUUUGCGCAAUGGGGGAAACCCUGACGCAGCAAUGCCGCGUGAGUGAAGAAGGCCUUCGGGUCGUAAAGCUCUGUCAAAUAGGAAGAAUGUAUUUAUAGUUAAUAGCAUUAAAUGGUGACGGUACUAUUAGAGGAAGCACCGGCUAACUCCGUGCCAGCAGCCGCGGUAAUACGGAGGGUGCAAGCGUUAUUCGGAAUCAUUGGGCGUAAAGGGCGCGUAGGCGGUUUGACAAGUCAGAUGUGAAAUCCCGGGGCUUAACCCCGGUAGGUCAUUUGAAACUGUCAGACUUGAGUGAGGUAGAGGAAAGCGGAAUUCCUGGUGUAGCGGUGAAAUGCGUAGAUAUCAGGAGGAACAUCUGUGGCGAAGGCGGCUUUCUGGACCUAAACUGACGCUGAUGCGCGAAGGCGUGGGUAGCAAACGGGAUUAGAUACCCCGGUAGUCCACGCAGUAAACGUUGAUUACUAGGUGUUGGUUGCAUAAAGCAAUCAGUGCCGCAGCAAACGCGUUAAGUAA